CCUACGGGAGGCAGCAGUGAGGAAUAUUGGUCAAUGGGCGAGAGCCUGAACCAGCCAAGUCGCGUGAGGGAUGACGGUCCUAUGGAUUGUAAACCUCUUUUGUCGGGGAACAAAGGCGGCCACGUGUGGACUGCCGAGUGUACCCGAAGAAAAAGCAUCGGCUUACUCCGUGCCAGCAGCCGCGGUAAUACGGAGGAUGCCAGCGUUAUCCGGAUUUAUUGGGUUUAAAGGGAGCGUAGGCCGGAUGUCAAGUGUGCGGUGAAAUUUCAGGGGUCAACCCGGACCUAGCGGCGGGAACGGGUGUGCUUGAGUCCGCGGAAAGCAGGCGGAAUGCGUCGUGUAGCGGUGAAAUGCUUAGAUAUGACGAAG
Molecule: ribosomal RNA, 369 nt
Filed under: uncultured bacterium
Lineage: Bacteria
Description: partial 16S ribosomal RNA
Rfam family: Bacterial small subunit ribosomal RNA
Source: RNAcentral